This 465-nucleotide ribosomal RNA is filed under the name Vreelandella stevensii. Its description in RNAcentral is "partial 16S ribosomal RNA". It matches the Rfam family "Bacterial small subunit ribosomal RNA", at positions 338 to 795 of the family's 1533-position model. The record is from RNAcentral. Lineage: Bacteria; Pseudomonadati; Pseudomonadota; Gammaproteobacteria; Oceanospirillales; Halomonadaceae.
CCUACGGGAGGCAGCAGUGGGGAAUAUUGGACAAUGGGCGAAAGCCUGAUCCAGCCAUGCCGCGUGUGUGAAGAAGGCCUUCGGGUUGUAAAGCACUUUCAGUGGGGAAGAAAGCCUUGGGGCUAAUACCCUCGAGGAAGGACAUCACUCACAGAAGAAGCACCGGCUAACUCCGUGCCAGCAGCCGCGGUAAUACGGAGGGUGCGAGCGUUAAUCGGAAUUACUGGGCGUAAAGCGCGCGUAGGCGGUCUGAUAAGCCGGUUGUGAAAGCCCCGGGCUCAACCUGGGAACGGCAUCCGGAACUGUCAGGCUAGAGUGCAGGAGAGGAAGGUAGAAUUCCCGGUGUAGCGGUGAAAUGCGUAGAGAUCGGGAGGAAUACCAGUGGCGAAGGCGGCCUUCUGGACUGACACUGACGCUGAGGUGCGAAAGCGUGGGUAGCAAACAGGAUUAGAUACCCGAGUAGUC